GAAGUUUGACAGACAAUCGCCGGCAGCUGCAAGCUGCGGGAGGAAAGUCCGGGCUCCACAGGGCAGGAUGCUGGAUAACGUCCAGUCGGCGCGAGCCGAAGGAUAGUGCCACAGAAAUGGACCGCCGAUGGCCGCGCUAACAUGUGCGGCACAGGCAAGGAUGGAACCGAGGUGUAAGAGACCCCGAGGAACGCUGGUGACUUCGUUCCUGGUAAACCCCAUCUGGAGCAAGACCUAAUGGGACGCAGCUUGCCGCGAGGGAAGCAGCCUUUGCCCGAGGCGCGUCUGGGUUGGUCGCUGGAGCCGUUUAGCAAUAAACGGCCUAGAUAGAUGAUUGUCACUUCAUGUGGGAGGGUAGUUCCCGUUAUCACCACAAUGAGUACAGAACCCGGCUUAUGGAAAACUUCCGUC
Molecule: RNase P RNA, 411 nt
Filed under: Paenibacillus yonginensis
Lineage: Bacteria; Bacillati; Bacillota; Bacilli; Caryophanales; Paenibacillaceae
Description: Bacterial RNase P class A
Rfam family: Bacterial RNase P class A
About the family: Ribonuclease P (RNase P) is a ubiquitous endoribonuclease, found in archaea, bacteria and eukarya as well as chloroplasts and mitochondria.
Source: Rfam by way of RNAcentral